GCAUGCGAGUCAUUGUAGCAAUACAAGGCAGACGGCUCAGUAACGCGUAGUCAAUCUACCCUAUGGACGGGAAUAACCUCGGGAAACUGAGAAUAAUGCCCGACAGAACAUUAUACCUGGAACGGUUUAUGUUUCAAAUGAUUUAUCGCCGUAGGAUGGGACUAGCGGCCUAUCAGUUUGUUGGUGAGGUAAUAGGCCCACCAAGACUAUUACAGGUACGGGCUCUGAGAGGAGUAGCCCGGAGAUGGGUACUGAGACACGGACCCAGGCCCUAUGGGGCGCAGCAGGCGAGAAAACUUUGCAAUGUGCGAAAGCACGACAAGGUUAAUCCGAGUGGUUUCUGCUAAAGAAACCUUUUGCUAGUCCUAGAAACACUAGUGAAUAAGGGGUGGGCAAGUUCUGGUGUCAGCCGCCGCGGUAAAACCAGCACCUCAAGUGGUCAGGAUGAUUAUUGGGCCUAAAGCAUCCGUAGCUCGUUUUGUAAGUUUUCGGUUAAAUCCAUACGCUUAACGUAUGGGCUGCCGGGAAUACUGCAUAACUAGGAAGUGGGAGAGGUAGACGGUACUCGGUAGGAAGGGGUAAAAUCCUUUGAUCUAUUGAUGACCACCUGUGGCGAAGGCGGUCUACCAGAACACGUUCGACGGUGAGGGAUGAAAGCUGGGGGAGCAAACCGGAUUAGAUACCCGGGUAGUCCCAGCUGUAAACUAUGCAAACUCAGUGAUGCAUUGGCUUGUGGCCAAUGCAGUGCUGCAGGGAAGCCGUUAAGUUUGCCGCCUGGGAAGUACGUACGCAAGUAUGAAACUUAA
RNAcentral lists this ribosomal RNA (806 nucleotides) under uncultured crenarchaeote. RNAcentral's name for it is "bacterial SSU rRNA". It matches the Rfam family "Archaeal small subunit ribosomal RNA", at positions 49 to 859 of the family's 1478-position model. The record is from RNAcentral. Lineage: Archaea; Thermoproteati; Thermoproteota.